Molecule: ribosomal RNA, 411 nt
Filed under: uncultured bacterium
Lineage: Bacteria
Description: bacterial SSU rRNA
Rfam family: Bacterial small subunit ribosomal RNA
Source: RNAcentral
GUGUCAGCCGCCGCGGUAAUACGAAGGGGGCUAGCGUUGCUCGGAAUUACUGGGCGUAAAGGGCGCGUAGGCGGACAGUUUAGUCAGAGGUGAAAGCCCAGGGCUCAACCUUGGAAUUGCCUUUGAUACUGGCUGUCUUGAGUACGGGAGAGGUGAGUGGAACUCCGAGUGUAGAGGUGAAAUUCGUAGAUAUUCGGAAGAACACCAGUGGCGAAGGCGACUCACUGGCCCGUUACUGACGCUGAGGCGCGAAAGCGUGGGGAGCAAACAGGAUUAGAUACCCUGGUAGUCCACGCCGUAAACGAUGAGUGCUAGUUGUCGGCAUGCAUGCAUGUCGGUGACGCAGCUAACGCAUUAAGCACUCCGCCUGGGGAGUACGGUCGCAAGAUUAAAACUCAAAGAAAUUGACGG